GUUUAAAUCUCGCGUGAACUUUGCCAGCCAAUGGUAGCACACAUGCAGCAGUUUUGAGAGAGUAAGUGGGAGACGCUGCCUGGAAAAGAUCACCGGUAACAGUGGCUUAAACUGAGUUAGACAAAACUGAACAAAACAGCUAAAACUGCUGCUUAAACAACCGAAACUAGGAGGACUGCUCAAACCUGAACGCGGAUAACUUCAGACUAUAUACAACGCGAAAUGGUGAGUGUGACAUUGCCCACCUGUUUAUCAUCAUCACUGAUCGACGGCAUGGCAUUUAAGUGUUUAAGGCAGUGGUUCUGAACUGGUGGGUCCCGACCCAAAAGUGGGUCACGGCCACGUUGAGGAUGGGUCGCGAACAGCUGGUCAAAAGAGUAAAUGUUUAAUGCGCAUCUGAUGUUUGACAUGUCUUUUAUUUUGAAAAAUGGCUUAUUUUGAAAGGCACGCCUUUUGUUGUGGUCCUACUUGCUUUACUUAUUAAUGUUGCCUGAAUGCAGUAAAAAUACAUGUUUGUUUUGUCUCUAUUUUUUGCAAUAUGAUAUUUAUUAAGAUUUAAGUCUUUAAAGUUUAUUUUUUGCUAAAAAAAAUAAAUUUGCUUGGUUUAAAUUUUAUAAAAGUGGGUUGCAACUUAAGGACCAUGGGAAAAUGUGGGUCCCAGAGUGAGACCAGUUGAGAACCAUUGGUUUAAGGUAAAGUGAUUUUGUUAAAACGGUGCAUUUGUGCAGACAUUUACAUUUACCAUGUUACCCAAGCCAGGUUUUUCCCCCGGGGUUUUGAUGCUCGAUGGCGAGCUAACCCUGGAUUCACCUCCAACAGUCGAAAUUCCCCUCACCCAUAGUCAUCAUCAUCAUCAUCACCAUCACCAUCACUAUCAUCUCCCCCUCACUCGUGGUCUUACCGGGCUGGUAGGACCAACUUAACUUUUUUUUCCCUCUUUGUUGUGGAUUAUACCAACUUUAGUAACGACUGCAGAUGGCAAUACACAGCGGUCUUUGGAACCACACACAAACCUCAACCAAAAAACCACUCUAUAGCCACAAGUAAUGCUCAGAACAGCACCUAACUUCAUCAAUAGUACAUAUAGGGUCCCAGCCAUAGUCUUAGCCACCAAACAUCUUUUUAAAUUUGCCUAAUUUCUUUAGCAAAGAGACUAAACAUAACUCACCUACUCUCUUCCAGCAGCCGCUUGUUUGUAGGGAGACCUCGGGCCAGUCCAUUGCGGACUGCAGCGGGGCGACGCAGCUUAAGGAAGAACAUUUAUGAUCAUUUCAUCAUGGAAAUGCAAUCAGACCAAGAUGCUAAGGCAGAAGAACUACCGCGUCUGCAGUGCAAACUGAUAACUAUGGUGAUUAUUACUUAAAGGAAAUGAUAAUGGACUGGCCUGAGGUCUCGCUACAAACAAGCGGCUGCUGGAAGACAGUAGGUGAGUCGUGUUUAGUGUCUUUGCUAUCUUGCGGUCCUUCAUGUUGGUAUAACUAGAGAAGCAAGCAGUCGGCAGCAUUCAUCUCUCGAGGAGGAUGUCUAACUCGGUGUUAUGGUUUGUUAGACCCUAAAACAAUUUUAUGCCGGAAUAUCACUUUAACUUGUGCUACAACAAAGUCUGGCAUCAAAGCUGUGAAUCUUACAGAUAAACCUUACAUGCAGAAAUCAAAGAGUAGUGACACAGUGUAAGUUGGAAGUAGCUUUGAUGCCACCACUCCCCUUCAGGGAGCAAUGGCAUCAACAAAGCAGAGGCAGAGACUGGAUGUCUCACAUCUGGGCACCUAACUGGAAGGAUAGUUUGUCAUGUGAUUGUACGGUGGCAAAUGUGACAUUAAUGCAUCUUAAGUUGUCUUCCUGCACAAGCUAACAGGCUUUUUUCCGUUUAAAAUAAUUUAUGUUUAAUGAUGCACUGAAAACACAUUUCGCCCCCCAUCAGGUAUCGCUCAUUUGGCUCAUAUAGAGAAAGAGAUAACCACGAUGGAUGUCCAUGUGUGAAGAAGACUUAAUAUCGAUUAUCUCAGUAUCAUUCGUGCACACACAAAAAGAGUUUUCGUAACAUUAAAAAUUUUCCUUCAUUCAAAUUUUCUCAUGAUUAGAGAUUUAUAAUCUGACCCAGACAAGGUCACUGCCGGCAAAGACGCCAUUAUGCAAGUUUCUGAGAUAAAAGUGAAGAUAAAUUCUGGGUCCAUCAACAGAAACAGUCCAAAUAUUAAAACGAAGAAAUUAAAGAUACUUCUUGUUUUAUAGCACUUCAAUUCACUUUCUUCAUCUGGUGUCUUGAAAGCUCCUGUGAGUAACUUUCAGCUUCUGUCAAUUGUGGACAAAGCAGACAUUGCUUAUCUUUUCCUCUUUGUGCUUGAGUAGGAACUUCUCAUCCUGCUGACGUUGCAGUAAAAUAUGGCAUUAAUUGUGGUUUUUUAAUUUUUAUUUUUUGUGGAAAGUGUCUAAAAAAAGAGCUGUUUCUAUAGCUGCUAAGCUGACACCUAACCCCUCACACCGGUCUAUUUCAUAGAUGUUAAAAAACUCCUCACAGGAGCUCUAUAAAAUACCGCUAUAGAUAUGAAAAAGUCAUCAGGGGUGUCACUUUCAGAGUGAACUUUUUCCUGCAGGAACAUAUCCAUCUAGCCAGGUGUGUGUGUCAUAUAUCAUGGAUAUCAUAUGUAUUCUUCCUGAGGGAGCUGAGCAGAUACAGUCAGUAGAUACAGUCAUCCAUCCAUCUACACUAUUUCCUCAUAUUCUCCAUCAGUGACUUUCAUUUCCUCUAUGAUGGCCGCAGGAUGUGAGGGGCAGAAGAGAAUGCAGGAAGGAGAGAAUGACCCAAGUCUGAUUGGUUAUCUAUCUAAUGGCUGCUUUAGUGGACUGCCUGAACCGCCUCUGGACGCGCACAAAGAGUGAAAUGGAGAAGACAAGAGGGGGGUUUCUGACCGGAGUCGUCUCUAAGUAAUGCAUUUACUCUGAAUGAUCCAAAGUGUGGCGCUCUCUGUAAUAAGAAUAAACAAAUAGCCCCAGUGCAUUUGCUUUAUUGUCUUACAUCAAUGAUGAUUUAUUUGCUUCCAUGGUGGGCUAUUGUAUGCAGAUUGCUUGAUGCCCCUGCGGUGAACCUCUCGUCUAAUCCUUUCACAGAGUGACUCGCCGUAGGAGAGGAGUGGGCUCCCAGGAGAAAUGAGGGAGGGUUCAAACAGUCAAGAGGAGCACGACGCCAAGCAGAGAAACAAUCCUGAAACUUUACACUGGCUCUUUCCACCUGUUCGCCACGCCAACAGAAGCUAUUUGAUUCACACAGAGAUUUCUAUAGAAGCAUAGUUUGGAUGGCGGCGGCAGGAUGAGUGUUAUUACGAUACAAUGAGAGUCAUUUCAGUGAGACAUAAAAGUGACAAAAAGCUAAGAGUGGAGGCGAUAAUGUUUCCUCGUGGGUCAGUGAGACCCCACCCCAGAGACGACAGCUGCAGCUGACCGCAUUACAGCUGGCAUGGGACAGAGAUAAAGGAGUGAAGCUCUGGGCCCAUAGUACCGCCUGAAAUCAGAUUUAGAUUCCAUUCUUACAUCCAAAUCAUAUUAUGCUGCACAGCUAUUCACAGAGUAGCUAUCUAUCACACACACCGUCAACAUGAUCCAACCAUCUGUCAGUGCUUACCUACACACUGCUUCAAGAUACGGCCCGGAUGGAGCCUCUGUAUUACCUUUUGCUUUGACAUCCUCUCUGCUGUGAGCAUGCUCUGCCUCCAAAAACAGAUGCAGAGCUCUCAAUUGUUGCAUCAACACAUUCAACUUUAUUAACAAUGAGGAUGAACAGAGGCAUUUUUGCAUCUUUGGAUGAAAUCUUCAGAUUUCAUUAUGUACAUCUGCAAGAGAAAUAAACAACCCAUAUCCAGACAAUUUAUUUCCCAUUAAAUGCUCGCAGAAAAAUGGACUGUCAUGUUUGAUUUAUGAGAUCUUGGU
Molecule: long non-coding RNA, 3924 nt
Filed under: Xyrichtys novacula (pearly razorfish)
Lineage: Eukaryota; Metazoa; Chordata; Actinopteri; Labriformes; Labridae
Source: RNAcentral